UGGGCGUUCUUAGACAGCAGUGACUUUUCUCAGAAGGGGUUUGGGAUGGUGACUCCUGCUUCCUCAGAGUGACGGAGAACUAUUGAGAAUAUCAACCCUUAGGAUGUGGGUGUAUUUGCUUAGUUUUUUGUCAUGAGCCUAGCCUACAGCGGGAGGCACCGGUCUGCCCCACAGCUGCAGGGCAUCUGGCCUUCUGCACUGGCUCCUUUGAGGGCCCAGCCCUAUCUGUCUGCCUGGAAUAUUUCUAUCUAACUCAGUAGCCUGUAACAGUUUUGCAUAGAAAAACACUUCGGAAAAGUACUGGUCCGAGGCCUAGAAAGAAAGCACCCGGUGUUACCCUGCAUCCCUGGGCCAAGGCAGCCUCUUCCUGAAGUCUCGGUUGCUUCUUGCUUAACCUUGAUCCCUUGGUUAAGGCGCGGUCUCCACCUUGAUGUUACAGAUUUUCCCUACCUUGUUCAUUAGGAUAAGGCCGUUAAGCCCAGCUAUACUCAAAGGGAGAGGAGCUGAAUUCCAUGCCCUGGAGAAAUCUGUUCAGCCUUUCCAGUACUAAUACACACAUUUAAGAAGAGGAGCUCGGAGAUCCUGCCAGGAUUGCGUUUCUCUGUGAAAUCCCUCCUGUGGCCUGCAGUGUCCUCCAGUGGACCUUGACUGCAGUGAGCUCCUUUUAUUCUUUUCCUCCUCCUCUCUUGCUGCAUGGUUGUCUAAUGGACUGCUUCCUACCUGGGGGAAAGCGGCCAGAAUGGCAGUUCAGAGACUUGGCAGACUUACCUCUGGGUACCUGACUUUCUGGUUUGGGUAGAUUUGUGGCUUCUGCAUUUCUGGGAAUCUGGUCUCCGGAACACUUCCUCGCCAUGGUUCAUCAACCGGUCCACUCAUGCGCUAUUGACCGCAUUUAGCCCACAGGGACAGUCUGGAUUCUGUGGCUCAUCCUAGGCUACGGGGGAAAUGUUGAUUGAGGCUGCCUGUCAUUCGAGAGGAUCACACAACGCCUGAGAAAGAGAAAUGUUUGGAAAAGCAGCAGUGCCAUCUUGUGGAACUUUUGGCGGCUUUAAAUUCGCCACAGCGCCACUGCAGGGCUCCACCACGUUCCACGGCAGGAGACCCAGGACGCAGGCCUCUGCGGGGCGUCUAGAUCGAAGUCCAGCAGGCCCUGUCAGUCCUCAUGGACACAUGCAGAGAGGCUCACAGCAAGACGCCCAGGACCAGGGAGGAUGGAGCACCUCGGAGCACCCCUUGCCUGUGAGCAGAUGACAUGGAAACCAGAUGGCCAGAGGGUUGCUUGGUCCUCAUAAAAUCAGCACAAGAGGUACCUGGUAACCUGCUGUGUCAAUCUUUUCUCUAUUUAUUUUUGCUUUCUUUCUGGUGCUAGGGAUCAAACCUAAUCUUGUGCAUGCUAAGCACACACCCCCGACUGAGCAAGCCCAGCCCGUGCCCAUGGUUCAAUCAGAGACAGCAGAGCCGUCAUGAAAAGUGAACAUUCUGUCACCCGGGUUCGCUCCUCUUGGAGGCUCUUGCUUGGGCCUAUACUAUGUUGCUUGUCGUGGCGUCUGUCCUGUGCUCCUUGACUGACCCAGUGCUGUCCUCAUUGAUUGUUCAGUGAUUGAAAGCUACUUGGUGGGCAUCUGCAAUGUGCCAGGUGUCAUCGCCAGUCUCAGACACACAGUGGGGAAUAAAAAAAAUUUGCUGCAGUCUCAAGACUUACACUCUAAUAGGAUUAAAAAUCAACAAAAUUAAAAAGAAAGCUGUGUAAUUUAGGUGAUGAUUCAGUUCUAUAAAGAAAACCGAGAUUGGGCAACAGGUUGGAGUACAGGGACUGGUCUCAGCUGCGCUCCCUCUGUCCUGUGUCUGUCUGUCUCUCACGAGCUCUUCUGCUUGCAGUACUGGUGGCUGAACCCAGGACCUUUGCCCUGAGCUGCAUUCACCUCCCUUAAUAGUUUUUCAUUUUCAGACAGGGUCUUGCUAAGUUUCUCUGGCUAUGCACGACCCUGCAAUUCUCCUGCAUCAGCCUCCUCAGUGCUGGGAUUAGAAGGGUGACUACCACAGCUGGCUUGUGACAAUGUCCUUGAAAGGACAACUUCAAGCACUUUUCUUCUCUGAGGCUCUGCCUCCAUCAUGAAUGACAGUAACUAUCUAGACUGGCAAGAAACUAUCCAGACCAACUAACUGCUUCUCAGGAUGUAAAUGGUCAUUGAUGUCCUUUGCCCUGGGAAAGGAACAGUACCUAAGACAGAAAUUAGGAAAAACUCGCUGAAAUGUACAUCAGAUGUCUUUAAAAAAAUUUUUUUUUUGGUCAUUUUGACACAGGGUUUUGCUGUGUAGUUCAGGCUGGCCUCAGACUCACAGUGAUCCUCCUGCCUUAGUCCCCUGAGUGCUGGGGUCACAGACAUGUUCCACCUCGCCCCAGAUGUCACUGUUGUACUUGGAUUUAUCUUGGUAGUGGAAAGACAACUGGGUUGGGCAUGAUAUGUGAUUUCUUGGAUUCCACGAAGAAAAAUGAAUCCACAUCUGGAAAGCAGUGAGGAAGACAGCAGAGCAGUGAGCAGCAGAAGGGCCUGUCUGGGAUUUGAUGUCCAGAACUACAACACAGUAACAUGAAGACAAUAAAGAGGGAAGCGGGUCCUGGGACCCAGGGAGGGCCUAAAGGGACAACUGCAGCCUGCAGGGCGAACAAGGAGAGCAACUUCAACAAAGGAGGAGGUGGCAGGUGGCGCUUUCUACCUGAGUGUGGACUCACUCCCUGGGAGGGGCGGCUCAGAACAGCACACGCACAGUGACACUGGGAACCCCAGAGGCCCCUGCAGAGAAAUGCACCAGAGUGGAGGGAACAGAGUGGAGGACGGAACAAAUGGAACAGAGUGGAGGAUGCAGCAGACUGCAGCGGCUGGUGAGACACCCAGGUUCAGAUCUCUCCCAGAAGGGCAACUGAGCAGGGGCUGCUUGUAGAGGCCAACUGAUCUCAGAAGCAGAGCAACUGCUGCUCCUACAAACAAACGUGAGGCACAUGGAGUGCUUCAGGGUAAACAGGCGCGGCUCCAGCCUCGUGAUCAGAAUCUGAACUUCAGUGGAAAUAAAGGCGCAGGGCUGUAGGGAUUUCCCACUGCCCCACUGGGAAGCUACUGAUGGCUCUCUUGGCUUAAUCAGCACAGAUCUGGACUCUGCCCACACCGUCUACUAGUGAAAGCAGAGACACCCCGUGAAGUGGACAUUUUUUUCUUUUCUCUCUUUUGUUUUCUUUGGUUGUUUUUUUUUUUUCUUCAUUGCUCAUUCUUGUUUUUAGAUGAGUGUGAACAUGGUUUCUAAUUUUUGUUGCUGUUUUGUUCUAUUCUUGUUUUUAAUUCUUCUUUCUCUCCUCCUGUCUUCUUCACCAGUUUCCUAGAGCUUGUGUGAUGCUCUUUGGUCUUCCAGUCUCCCUCCCCUUCCCCCUCCAUCAUCAUCCUCCUCCCCCACCCCCUCCCCUCCUCUUCUUCUUCUUGAGAAAGAGUGUUGCUGUGUAGUUCAGGCUGGCCUGGACUCACGAUGGAAUGGCCCUAAACUUGCAGCAAUCCUCCUGACUCAGCCUCCCAAGUGCCAGGGUUACAGGCAUGUGCCACCAUGCCCAGUUCCAUCAUUGCUUCUAAUCUCUUCCUUUUCUUCUGUUUCUCUAUUUUCCCCUCUUACCCCUUUAAAAUUUUCUCCCCUUUAAUAAAAAAAUGGACAUCUGAAAUGAACAGAGACUUCAGAUUAAGAAGUAGAAAAGGUGAAUGAACAUAUGAAAAAAUGUUCACUAUCACUGGUCAUUUGAGUAGUGCAAAUUAAAACAAUGCUGAGAGCCCCUCUCUCCCCAGAAAAAAAUGCCUAAUAUCAAGAAAUCAACCAAUAACAAAUGCUGUGGGGCUGUGGGGAAAAGGAACCCUUCUCCUCCACUGUUGAUAGGAGUGUAUCCUGGGACAACCACUGUGGAACUGGCAUGGAGAUUCCUGAACAACACAAAACGAGAGGUUUCAUUUGACCCAGCUCUUUUCCUUCUUGGUGUCUUCUUGAAAGAAUUAAGAGCAUCAUACCACAGUGAUACAUGUGCAUCUGUGUUUAUAGUGCCACAGGUUUUAACAGCUGAAUCUUGGAAACAGUCCAAAUGCCCAUCAAUUGAUGAAUAGAUAAAAAAAGAUGUGGUUUUUGUACCAUGGAGUACUAGUCUGCCAUAAAGAAGGAUAACCCUGAGAAAUUUCUAGCUAAAUAGAGGCUCCUUGAGGCCAUACUCUUAAGAGAAAUAAAUCAGACACACAUGUGUAAAUACUACAUUGUUUCUCUUAUGUGAGAAAUUGAAAGUGUAAAUAAGCACUGAAAUACAUAAUAGAAAUUGUGAAACAGAAAAUGUUUAAAUGGGAAGGAGGAAACAGAGAUGGGGAGGAGAAAAGGAAAAAGUGGAAAUAAAGCUUUUGUCAGUCCAUACUCCAUACUCUAGAGGGAGAGGAGUUGGAGGGAAAGCAGGAUGAUGGGAAAGAGAAAAAUUAUAUCAUGUACAGGUAGAAAUUCCCUAUGCUGAGUGUGAUAAACAUAAUUAAAAAAAAGAGAAGCCACCAGCUCACCUCCCUGGUAAGUGGCUCAGGCAAGCUGUGGCUGCCCCGGGGAGAACCACUGGCCUCUGCCAAGAUCUGCACCAUGUUGGAACUUGGGGCACUAGGAAACCAAGCCAGCUGCUGGACUCCCUGGUAAGCAGCUGUGAGCCUGAGGGCUGAAAAUCAAACAUCCCAUACCCCCCUCCUUAGCAAACAGGAGUCAGAGGUCUGAGCAUCUUUUGGGAAGAUGACCAUAUGCAAUAUUCUUCUACCAUCUCUUUGAAGGCAAAUAUUGUUAUGACUGUUUUGCUUUGUUCUGAUUAAUGGUAUCGCUCUAUUCAAUAUUGUUUUGAUAAGUUCUAUAGUGUUCUGUAUUUCACUUGAUUUUGCUAUACCUGAUUGAAAGCACAACAAGAUAUACUGUGGAACCUAUCACUGUUAUCCCGGUAACCUGCUGUGAGUUCUGUACAGUUUCACUGCACAAUCUCAAUUGGCUUUGUUCCGUCUUGUUCUGUUGUAUUUUACUACCUUUAAAAUAAUAGAGAGAGAGAGAGAGAGAGAGAGAGAGAGAGAGAGAGAGAGAGAGAGAGAGAAAGCAGUAGAAGGAAAGCAAGGACAGCAGAGGUUGGGGGACCGCAAAGGCCGAUGCUGGUGCUGGCAGGACGCUGAACGAGUGAACAUUCUGCAGCGUCUGUAAGCAGUGACUGUACGAGCUUUCACGAGAGGGCUGAUGAGUCACAAAAUUACAAAAAUAAAACUAAAAGGAGUACUUUGAGCAGAGACCCGAAUGAUGGAAGGGCGUGUCCUGCGGAAGGCUCCAAGUCUGAGGUCACAGGCGGUCAGGGCAGAGGCCUGGAGGUGGGGAGAGCUUACAGGCUUCCAGGGAAAGUGAGGUGGCCGUGGUGGCCACUCGACUCUGUGUUUGCCCUCCGUACCUGUGGACUCUGCGUCUGUGGACCCAGCCAACCACAGACAAAGCAGACUUCAGACUGAGACCCGUGUCUGCUGUGAACACGGAGACUGUGUGUACCACUACUCCGGACAGAUGACGUGUAACAGCUGUUCACACGGUACUUGCAAUGCAGGAGAUACUCUAGGUAGCCUGGAGAGAAUCUCGCGUAUACGGAGGAUGCACUUACGGUUCACGUCGCUCUCUGCUAUUUUAUGUGAGUUUUGCACACCCUCAGACUUGAGCAUCCCCAGGCUUCCUGCAGCCAGUCCCUUGUAGAUAACGAAGGACAACAGUGUUUUUAACUUACGGAAACUGUAUUUGCCGUAGAUUUUGUGUCUCAUGUUUUACAUUUACUGUUGUAUUCUGGGGACCUACCAUUUCUCAGAAGGUACUUGCCAUGUUUUCCUCUGCAUUUCUUAGGGGGACACCUGGGCUCCUCCUGAUUCCCUCGGGUACCAUCAGCCGGGGGCAGUGUCUUGUGCACAUCUUGUGUAGGUUUGUGCUCUUCUCCCAGGCUUCUGUGGAGAAAUGACUGCUGGCCCACAGGGUAAGUGCACACCUAAUUUCACUGAAGAUGGUUCCUAACCAUGGUUCCUCCUUCAUCCUGUUACUGUGGUGCUGACUGAUGGUGGUAUGUUGAACGAGCCCAUACCCCAGAAACAAAUCUCAUCUGGUCAUGGUGUGAUUUGCUGCUUCAGCUGUUUGAGAGUAUUUUUUUUGGUAGUGUCUUUGGCCUCGCUAUCAUGCGCAUGCUAGCCUUGUAGAACAAAUUGGGCAGCGCUCCCUCCUGUUUGAGAAAGAGCAGCGUUAGGAGUUGGCAGGGAAGCCCCUGCCCCUACAUUUUCUCUGGGGGUUUUGCUGAAUCCUCUUAGUAGUUACACAUGUAGCCACAGCUUUGUCUUUCUACCAGAGUUUCACGGGGUUGUGUUUCUGGGAAGUCUACUGUUUUAUCUAGACAGCAACCCAAGUUCCUGUCUCAUAGUCCUUUGUGUUCCUACAACAUCAGUGUGCUGUCUGUUUAUUUUAGACUGGGCUGUGCCAUGCUGCCCAGGCUGCUGAUUUCCUUUCUCUUUUGAGACAAAGGGCUGCUGUGCUUCAGGCUGGCCUGGAGGCCUGUGCUCACCCCUGGCUCUGGAGCAGCCCACUCUGCCCCACGCCCUGACCUCAGUCGAUACCAUCUUUUGACUUUCUCAAGUAGUGCCCCAGUGGUAACUGUAUUUCCGUAUUUUAUUUUUUAUUUAUGUUUUUACUUUGGUACUUACGACCUUGCGCUUGCCAGGCAGGCGCUGAGCCAAGUCCCGGGCCCUGCUUCUGUAUCUUCAUCCCCAGAACCGGUGGUGCUUCCUUCCCGGCCCGGGUGCUAUGCAGGUGCUCAGGGAGAGGCUGAACCCCAGCUCUACCCCCUCCUUCCCCUGCCCUGGGCCCUGUGACGGGCAGGCUGCACAGCUGGGAGAAGGGGUGCACUCAGGAGGACGGGACUGUUCCACUUCCCUGUCAUUCAUUCCUGUCCCCAUUUUCUUAGGGCCAUGGGUAACCACCAGUGCUUUGAUGGUGAUGGGAGAGUGUUAAAGUCCUUUUUCUAAGCAGCUUGGAGCAGAGUGGUGGGAGGAAACUGAAGUGAGUUUGUAAACAAUAUAGGAGUCCAAGCAGCCAAACUGAUAAAUUUGGAAUUUUAUUAGCUGAGCUCAAUGACCACCAUAGACCCAUUUCAGAGUUUAAACGAGUGGUGCAGAACUGGAGGGCUACAGGGCAUUAAAGCAAAAAACUGUGAAGCAAGGCAUCCUGUGGAAGCAAUUUAGCUAGAAUCCUGCAUUAAUUUUGGUUGACACCUGUAUCCUGCUUCUUUGUUGAGCAGGUUAAUUCUUGUCUUGUGGUGCAGCUCAUUCUGCUUUUCUCACGGGACUUGUACCCUGGGUGAUUUUUCACUCCACUGGGUCAAACACAGGGCACAAGACGGAGUCAGUUAGGCCAAGCUCCAACAGAAAAGAACGCAGAUCCAGUGAGCAUGAGGCUGGGAGGAGGAGCAGACAGAUGGACAGAUGGUGGGGUGGCCUCAGUGAGUUUCGGGGACACUGGGAAGGCCUGGACUGCCCAGUGAGGGAAGUGGCACCCCCAGCCGCGAGCUCUUCCUCGGGAGGACUGGACAACCCAGCCUGCCGGUGGGCGAGCGGGAGGGCAGGGGGAGCCCAGGUCAGUCUGAGCGAGGAAUGCAUGGAUUGCUGGGCCAUGGGCGUGAGUGACCCCAGAACAGGCCUGCGUCUGAAUGAACAAAAGGGCAAGGAGGAAGGCAGGCUGCUGGUCUCCUCAGGUGCCAGUCUCCACCUCCAACUUGAAGGCCCACUGCAGGAAGCCGUGGCCUUGCACUGAAUCCUGGGGUCCCCACGGUGCUGAGGGCUUUGUUUUCUUUCUUUUAGAGACGGGGUCUCGCUAUGCAGUUGGAACUCACUUUGUAGCCCCAGGCUAGUGUUGAAUUUGCAACAAUCCUCCUGCCUCAGCCUCCCAAGUGCUGGCCAGUCUGGUAAACUCAUACACAUUUAUCUAUCUUUCGUCAAAUCUGCUUCUGUGUGCGGACAGAAUCUUGUACAACGGGAUUUCACUUUGUAGGUGAUUUUAGGGUUACGGGAUUGUUAACAGAGGCGCGCCUCACUCAGACCUGUUUCAGGAGAGUGAAUUGGUGUGAAGGAGGACUGGGAGUCCUGGCUGAAACUCCUGCACACAGAACCUCAGCUGCUCCCCGUUCUAGGUGAGGAAAGGGGCAGAAGGCUGGGUCUCUGCCAGCGGCCACACAGUGUCUGGGCACUGACUUGAGCGCUAACCAGGCUGUACACCAUGAGUCCGGAGCUCCAGCAUGGCCCUCCUGUGCUGCACGCAAUAGAAGAGGAGCCGGGAGAGGCGCUGUCCAGCAGCAGAACUAAGGCGUAGGAGUGGGCAGGAGGGGAGGACCUUUGGGGCCCCGAGGAAACAAAUGGCUGGAUCUCGACUGUAAUGGGGAAGUGAGGAGUGGGUGCCUGGGGUGCCUGAUCUGGGUGGAGCCCUCCAAGCCAGAGCAGGCCCACGGGGAGGAGGCCACCGGACAGGGUCAGAGGUGCUGCCUGAGCCUGUCCUACAGGGACCGCAGAGAGCUGCUAAGCCUGGUGGCCAGGUGGAUAGACUCACAAGGACGCUGGUGAGGUUGGGGCUCACUCUCAGGCCCUCCCUCCGAACUGGGGGAGCACAGAGGAAUACGGCAACUCACAAAAUACUAGAGGCCUCAUGACCAUGCGCAACAAAAUGAGGGUAAGUGAACACAUACCCAAGGGCAGGUUCUGUUUUCAGGAUGCCCGCCACCGUCAAGGUGGAGGACUGUGCUUCUGGGAGGGCGCUGGCAGGUCUGGUCGCUUAUCUGACAGAAGAAUGACCUGCCUCCCUUCUAAAGGGUGUCAGGCAGUUUGUAGCAACCACAAUGAUGCAGAAAAUUAAUGACUGGUUUGCUAUAGAUGCAGAAAUUUCCUUUUGGCUUUGAAAAACUGAAAUGGUUUCUUUCCCCUUAUUUUUGGUGCUGGAGCUCAAACCUCAGGCCCCGAGUGCACCUGGCAAACGCCAUACCACCA
Cavia porcellus (domestic guinea pig) is the source of this 9077-nucleotide long non-coding RNA. RefSeq lists it as uncharacterized. The transcript is spliced from 4 exons. NCBI's taxonomy places the organism in Eukaryota, Metazoa, Chordata, Mammalia, Rodentia, Caviidae. The record is from RefSeq and is a predicted model, not a curated record.